RNAcentral lists this long non-coding RNA (789 nucleotides) under Vulpes vulpes (red fox). RNAcentral describes it as "lncRNA (ENSVVUG00000015087.1)". Lineage: Eukaryota; Metazoa; Chordata; Mammalia; Carnivora; Canidae. The record is from RNAcentral.
ACUGGCUUUACCACAGUACCUGAAUUUUUCCACAUGACAGGAAAUAUGUCUUAGAAAAGUUUGUAACUGGGAGACUUUUUAAUCCCCAAUUUAGCCACUGCAAAGAGGGUAGAACCUGAGAGAAAGUGGUCUUGUGGUGUCACUCAGGUAAAUCUCCAGCAGGUAAGCACCGGAAGUUGGAACACGACUCUGUCACUCAGUAUCCCUUUUACAAGGUAAGAAACGUCAGGAUUUACCACCUUCGAAAGCUUUGUUUCACUUAGAAACGUCUAGGCUUCUUCAUUUUGAUGAAGACAGCUAAUGUGACAGUGCCUCUCUGAAGUGAGGCUACCGCAGCUGUGUUUUUUAUGGUUUAAGUAUUUUUUCUCCUCCCCCCCCCGCAGUCCAGAUCAUGCCUAUUUUGCUAACCUUUCCGUGUCUACGUUCUUCCCCAGUCUUUUGGGCAAACAGGUGAAAUAAAAAGAAAUGUGAAGAUGAAAAGAGCGGGCAAGCAAGAGUCGGGGUAGCAAAUCAGCUCUUGGCAUCCUAGGGCUGGAGGCCUGAGAAGCCACAGGAAGCAGGAGGCGAUCUGGAGCCGUACAUCUUCUGGGUAGUGCUUGUUGAAGCUUGCAGGAGGGCUGCAGAUGCCUACAAGUGCCUGCGCAAGACUGCUGAAACUGGCCUCAAACACACCAGGUCCAGCUGGUGCAUCUGCUCUUGGCAUCAAGGUUGCAGGUACCUUGUCCUGAACCUGUCCCAUUCUUCCGACUUGGAUUUACUUUUCCGUGGCAGCCUCCCUUACCCCAAUCU